RNAcentral lists this ribosomal RNA (433 nucleotides) under uncultured bacterium. RNAcentral describes it as "partial 16S ribosomal RNA". It matches the Rfam family "Bacterial small subunit ribosomal RNA", at positions 29 to 507 of the family's 1533-position model. The record is from RNAcentral.
AACGAACGCUGGCGGCAUGCCUAACACAUGCAAGUCGAACGAGACCUUCGGGUCUAGUGGCGCACGGGUGCGUAACGCGUGGGAAUCUGCCCUUGGGUUCGGAAUAACAGUUGGAAACGACUGCUAAUACCGGAUGAUGACGUAAGUCCAAAGAUUUAUCGCCCAAGGAUGAGCCCGCGUAGGAUUAGCUAGUUGGUGAGGUAAAGGCUCACCAAGGCGACGAUCCUUAGCUGGUCUGGGAGGAUGAUCAGCCACACUGGGACUGCGACCCGGCCCAGACUCCUACGGGAGGCAGCAGUGGGGAAUAUUGGACAAUGGGCGAAAGCCUGAUCCAGCAAUGCCGCGUGAGUGAUGAAGGCCUUAGGGUUGUAAAGCUCUUUUACCCGGGAUGAUAAUGACAGUACCGGGAGAAUAAGCCCCGGCUAACUCCGUG